AGUAACACGUAAACAACCUGCCUUCAGGAUGGGGACAACAGACGGAAACGACUGCUAAUACCGAAUAAGUUCCAAGGGCCGCAUGGCCCAUGGAAGAAAAGGUGGCCUCUACCUGUAAGCUAUCGCCUGAGGAGGGGUUUGCGUCUGAUUAGCUGGUUGGGGGGGUAACGGCCCACCAAGGCGACGAUCAGUAGCCGGUCUGAGAGGAUGAACGGCCACACUGGAACUGAGACACGGUCCAG
This 242-nucleotide ribosomal RNA is filed under the name uncultured bacterium. RNAcentral's name for it is "partial 16S ribosomal RNA". It matches the Rfam family "Bacterial small subunit ribosomal RNA", at positions 109 to 334 of the family's 1533-position model. The record is from RNAcentral.